Molecule: ribosomal RNA, 253 nt
Filed under: uncultured bacterium
Lineage: Bacteria
Description: partial 16S ribosomal RNA
Rfam family: Bacterial small subunit ribosomal RNA
Source: RNAcentral
GACGAAGGUGGCGAGCGUUGUUCGGAAUCACUGGGCAUAAAGCGCACGUAGGCGGUGCCGUAAGUCGGGUGUGAAAUCCCUCGGCCUAACCGAGGAACUGCGCCCGAUACUGCGGUGCUUGAGGACCAGAGGGGUGCAUGGAAUUUCCGGUGGAGCGGUGAAAUGCGUUGAUAUCGGAAGGAACUCCGGCGGCGAAAGCGAUGCACUGGCUGGUUUCUGACGCUGAGGUGCGAAAGCCAGGGGAGCAAACGGG